CGAAAGCCUGACGGAGCAACGCCGCGUGUGGGAAGAAGGCUCUUGGGCUGUCAACCACUUUUCUCAGGGAAGAAGAUCUGACGGUACCUGAGGAAUCAGCCUCGGCUAACUCCGUGCCAGCAGCCGCGGUAAUACGGAGGAGGCAAGCGUUAUCCGGAAUUAUUGGGCGUAAAGCGUCCGCAGGUGGUGCAUCAAGUCUGCGGUUAAAGACCGGAGCUUAACUCCGGGUCAGCCGUGGAAACUGAGGCACUAGAGGAUGGUAGGGGUAGAGGGAAUUCCCAGUGUAGCGGUGAAAUGCGUAGAGAUUGGGAAGAACACCGGUGGCGAAAGCGCUCUACUAGACCAUCACUGACACUCAGAGGACGAAAGCUAGGGGAGCG
This 380-nucleotide ribosomal RNA is filed under the name uncultured cyanobacterium. RNAcentral's name for it is "bacterial SSU rRNA". It matches the Rfam family "Bacterial small subunit ribosomal RNA", at positions 376 to 770 of the family's 1533-position model. The record is from RNAcentral. Lineage: Bacteria; Bacillati; Cyanobacteriota.